UACGUAGGGUGCGAGCGUUGUCCGGAAUCAUUGGGCGUAAAGCGCGCGUAGGCGGCCCUGUAAGUCCGUUGUGAAAGUCAAAGGCUCAACCUUUGAAAGCCGAUGGAUACUGCAGGGCUGGAGUCCGGAAGAGGCGAGUGGAAUUCCUGGUGUAGCGGUGGAAUGCGCAGAUAUCAGGAGGAACACCAAUAGCGAAGGCAGCUCGCUGGGACGGUACUGACGCUGAGGCGCGAAAGCGUGGGGAGCGAACAGG
This 253-nucleotide ribosomal RNA is filed under the name uncultured bacterium. RNAcentral describes it as "partial 16S ribosomal RNA". It matches the Rfam family "Bacterial small subunit ribosomal RNA", at positions 524 to 776 of the family's 1533-position model. The record is from RNAcentral.